CGGCUGAGCGGAGCCGACCUGUACUCCCUGUGCAGCGAGGCCGUGAUGGCGGCGUUCAAACGCCGGGUAGCCCGUGUCGACCAAGGCCUGGAGGUGGAGGACGCCGAGCUGGCCCUCCUGCCCGAGGACUUUGAGCAGGCCCUCAGCACCCUGCAGCCUUCGGUCUCGCAGCAGGAGAUGGAGCAGUACCGGCUGAUGCAGCAGCGGCUCUCUGCCUGAUGACCCGCGGCGCCAACCGCUGGCAGGACAAGGGCCGGCAGGGACCACGGGUACAAGCGGCCGGGACCCCAGGGAAAAAGUGGCCGGGUCCCAGAGCCGCCAACUACCCAACAUCUGAUGGAACGGCCGCAGCAGAGUAGGACUCGGCACAUGGGACCAGGAGGUAUCGGACGUGAGAGCCGUAGGCCGGGCCAGCGUUUAUUGCCUCUGAGGGGGUGAGGGUGAGCUGCCCCCUCGACCCACUGCCCUCACUCUGGUGAAGGGGCUCCCACCUUGCUGGUGGGCAGGGAAUCUCAGGGUCAGAUCCAGUGACAGUGAUGAGAGAUUGCUGAGUGUAAAUAAAUCGGUUUGAGACUGUUGCGGCCUCUGAUAUUCAUUUCAACAGAAUAAAUGUUCAAAAUCUU
Molecule: long non-coding RNA, 623 nt
Organism: Amblyraja radiata (thorny skate)
Lineage: Eukaryota; Metazoa; Chordata; Chondrichthyes; Rajiformes; Rajidae
Exons: 2
Source: RefSeq, a predicted model, not a curated record